This 406-nucleotide unclassified non-coding RNA is filed under the name Hevea brasiliensis (rubber tree). Lineage: Eukaryota; Viridiplantae; Streptophyta; Magnoliopsida; Malpighiales; Euphorbiaceae. The record is from RNAcentral.
UGUUCAUUGCUCUGAACUGCUUCAUUCUGGACAGGACUGCACUGUCUAUUGGCUUAUCUGAUGCUUCUCCAAGUCGAAGCCAUGGAUGUUCAAGAACUUGCGCGGAAGUAAUUCUCUUCCUUGGCUCCUGCGUUAGCAUUUUCCGAAUAAGGUCCUUGGCACUAUUUGAUAUUGAUGGCCAUGGAUCACUUUGGAAGUCAAUUUCUCCUUUUAGUAUGGUAUUAAAUAUUCCCUUUUCAGUUUCAGCCCAAAAUGGAGGUACACCACUGAGCAGAAUAUACAAAAUAACACCUGCACUCCAUACAUCUGCUUCCUUCCCAUAACUACGCCGCAACACUUCAGGGGCAACAUAAUAUGCACUACCAACUAUAUCACGGUACACCUUCCCUUCUUCAAUGAAGACAGA